This is a long non-coding RNA of Numida meleagris (helmeted guineafowl), 773 nucleotides long. RefSeq lists it as uncharacterized. The transcript has 2 exons. Lineage: Eukaryota; Metazoa; Chordata; Aves; Galliformes; Numididae. The record is from RefSeq and is a predicted model, not a curated record.
UGAGCUCCUGUGCCAACAGCUGACCACUGUACUUUGGAUUCCAGGACAUCACGAAACCCUGCUGUUGUUUGGAUAGAAGAGAAGGAGUGAUGAAACAAACUGGACGUUCCGGCUCUACUCUACCUCAACUUAAAACACAAGAUGCUGUGCACUGAACUCCUGCUACUCCUGUAUGCAGCCUGAAAGAGAGAACACUGUUUUCACAGGGCUACUUCACAGCUGAGUUUUUAUUUACGAGCUGCUGUAGAUCUAGGAUGGAGAACCUAUGGAAAAGAGACAACACUAUGAAUUUAAAGAUAAAGAUCUGCUGCAAAUUACCUUGCAAACUGUAUUGUGAUGGCAGCUACUAUGGAAGCUUUUUAGAACACAACUGCAGGACUGACCACAAUUCUAUCAAAGCCCAGCUAGACUUGUAUCCUGUUUCUGACAGUUCAUCAGGAAAAGCAGAAAGAAAUGCAAAUAUACUAUGAAAUUCCUCUCAGAACACUCCUAGUUUCAGUAAUGACCAGCUCACAGAGCCUCGGUACCAAAUUUUAAUUUUUAAAUUUAAAUUUUUAUUUAAAGGGUUUUUUUUCUUUCUUGAAUUUAUCUCACCACUUCUUGGACUCAUUUUUGCACUUGGAGUAAUACAUCCUAUGACAGUGUUAACAUGGCUUGAUUAUGUACUGUGAGAAAGUGUGUUUUGUUUGCUUUAAGCUUGCUGAUCAUUUCAUUUGGAGGCUAUGUAAAUCGUGUGCUGUGAGAAACAAUGAAUAAAUGUCUCUGUUCACCUA